AGAGUUUGAUCCUGGCUCAGAUUGAACGCUGGCGGCAUGCCUUACACAUGCAAGUCGAACGGUAACGGGCCUUCGGGCGCCGACGAGUGGCGAACGGGUGAGUAAUGCAUCGGAACGUACCUUUCAGUGGGGAUAACGUAGCGAAAGUUACGCUAAUACCGUAUAUUCUGUGAGCAGGAAAGCAGGGGAUCGCAAGACCUUGCGCUGAUUGAGCGGCCGAUGUCAGAUUAGCUAGUUGGUGAGGUAAAGGCUCACCAAGGCGACGAUCUGUAGCGGGUCUGAGAGGAUUGAUCCGCCACACUGGAACUGAGACACGGUCCAGACUCCUACGGGAGGCAGCAGUGGGGAAUUUUGGACAAUGGGGCAACCCUGAUCCAGCCAUGCCGCGUGAGUGAAGAAGGCCUUCGGGUUGUAAAGCUCUUUCGGCCGGGAAGAAAUCGUAUGGGCUAAUACCCUGUGCGGAUGACGGUACCGGCAUAAGAAGCACCGGCUAACUACGUG
This 501-nucleotide ribosomal RNA is filed under the name uncultured bacterium. RNAcentral describes it as "bacterial SSU rRNA". It matches the Rfam family "Bacterial small subunit ribosomal RNA", at positions 8 to 507 of the family's 1533-position model. The record is from RNAcentral.